GGACCUGACUGCUAUCGGAUUGAUACUAAGCCAUGCGAGUCAUUGUAGCAAUACAAGGCAUACGGCUCAGUAACGCGUAGUCAACCUAACCUAUGGACGGGAAUAACCUCGGGAAACUGAGAAUAAUGCCCGAUAGAACAUUAUGCCUGGAAUGGUUUAUGUUCCAAAUGAUUUAUCGCCGUAGGAUGGGACUGCGGUCUAUCAGUUUGUUGGUGAGGUAAUGGCCCACCAAGACUAUUACAGGUACGGGCUCUGAGAGGAGUAGCCCGGAGAUGGGUACUGAGACACGGACCCAGGCCCUAUGGGGCGCAGCAGGCGAGAAAACUUUGCAAUGUGCGAAAGCACGACAAGGUUAAUCCGAGUGGUUUCUGCUAAAGAAACCUUUUGUCAGUCCUAGAAACACUGAUGAAUAAGGGGUGGGCAAGUUCUGGUGU
RNAcentral lists this ribosomal RNA (434 nucleotides) under uncultured archaeon. RNAcentral describes it as "bacterial SSU rRNA". It matches the Rfam family "Archaeal small subunit ribosomal RNA", at positions 19 to 458 of the family's 1478-position model. The record is from RNAcentral.